GUACGAGUGAAAAGCCCUUGAAAGAGGGUUAAACAGUACGUGAAAUUGUUGAAAGGGAAGCGCUUGUGACCAGACUUGGGCGCGGCGGAUCAUCCGGGGUUCUCUCCGGUGCACUUCGCCGCGUUCAGGCCAGCAUCAGUUCGGCGCGGGGGAAAAAGGCUUCGGGAACGUGGCUGCUCCGGCAGUGUUAUAGCCCGUUGCAUAAUACCCUGCGCUGGACUGAGGACCGCGCAUCUGCAAGGAUGCUGGCGUAAUGGUCACCAGCGACCCGUCUUGAAACACGGACCAAG
This 290-nucleotide ribosomal RNA is filed under the name fungal sp. BAB-2276. RNAcentral's name for it is "partial 28S ribosomal RNA". It matches the Rfam family "Eukaryotic large subunit ribosomal RNA", at positions 358 to 670 of the family's 3401-position model. Lineage: Eukaryota; Fungi. The record is from RNAcentral.